This 200-nucleotide long non-coding RNA is filed under the name Manihot esculenta (cassava). Its description in RNAcentral is "long non-coding RNA (MESC_LNC002296)". The record is from RNAcentral. Lineage: Eukaryota; Viridiplantae; Streptophyta; Magnoliopsida; Malpighiales; Euphorbiaceae.
UAGUGGGGUAGGCGAUAGUGAUGUAAACGUAGAUGAUGAUGUAUCUGGGCAUGUAAAUCCUUUAAGGAUAGCCUUUUAUCCCGUAGUGUUGGUAUUUGUGACAUGCUGUAAUGUGUUUUUCUUUUAAUGAAAUUUUUGUUUUGCGUUCAUACUCGAACUAUUCUUUCUUUAUCAUAAAUGAAGUACUUAGAUUGCUUGCU